GUUUAAUUAAAGCCUCAGGUUCAGGCGUUGACUUCUCCUCCAUCUGAGAGAUGGCUCUGAUCCUCAGGGCUGGGCUGUCUCUUCAUGAAGUGGGAGCAGCCACAACUUGGUGAUGGAUCAGGAUCACCCCACGCCUGAACCUGAGGCUUUAAUUAAACUUCUCAAAUCUCUACCUUGUGCCACCCUCUGCCCUUCACUCUCCUUGGGCUCAGCUGGAAGGAAGGGAGAUUUGAGACACUGAAAAAUACAGCGUUUGAUUUGCUAAUUCCCAAUAAAAGGGAGUCGAGAGAAAUUUAUGUUCAGGGCUUUAGGAAGUGUGGGUGUUGGCUCCGUCCUAAUGCCUGAAACUCACUGCGCCCCUGAGGGAGCAGCAGGUUUCCUCCUGCGAAUGACUGCGAUCUCUCAACUAAACUCCACCCAGGAAACCUGUGUUCACGUGAGGCAGGCGAGAGAAUAAUGGCUCAGAGACCCAGCAGAAGCCCCUGCUGACCUUGGGGUGUCCUCUAGCACCUGACAGAGGACACACCUGGAGGACCACGUGGCACUGCCGGCCCAGACUUAAAAUAUGGAAUUAAUCCCCAAUAGGUAAAAAGUGGGAGAUUUCCAUGAAUUCACCAGUUCACACAUCAUUUACCGUACCCUAGCUGAGCUGGGCACUGCUGUGGGUGCUGGGGAUAGAUGCUCGGGGAACAGAGACCCUGCCUGCGUGCAGACCCCCUUCGUGGGCCCACGUGCAAGCCGGAUCCCUGAACGGAUCCAACAGCCUGGGCAGCUGGCACGGGGCUCUCCUUGCUGCAGCAUCUGUGGGUGAAGCCGCUGCUCCCCUUGGGACUGCACCCUCUCUGCGCCACAGUCCCCACCACGCCCUAUCGCUCCCACGUUGGGGCUGAUGCCACUUGCUGUUUGUCACCAAUUGGGUGACGCUUCCUCAGAAUGGACCAACAGGGAAAGGGAAGAGCUUUUGUUUUGUUUUGUUUUGUUUUUAUGCUUACCAAAAAUAGGAAAACAGAAGAUAGACCAUGGGGACUGAGUGUUUCCAGAACCCCUGGACGAACAUUUCCGCACAGUUGUGGAAAAUUCGUGGUUGAAAGUCCAAACUCUGAGAGCCAGUUGGCCUGGGCUCUCCCUCAGCCUCAUCCUGGCUGGAGGAUCGAGCAGCUUCCUGUGUCUCAGACCCUCAGGUUCCUCGUCUGUGAGUGGGGAUGAGAACAGCACCUGCCACUUCUGGCUCUUUUUUAAAAACAAUUUUAAUAGAGAUGGGGCCUCACUAUGUUGCCCAGGCUGGUCUCAAACUCCUGGGCUCAAGCAAUCCACCCACCUCGGCCUCCCAAAGUGCUGGGAUUACAGGGGUGAGCCACUGCAUCCGGCCCCUUUUCUGGCUCUUACGAGGGUUGAGUGAGCCUGUACACCUGAAGAAUAUAAUAUGCAAAUAAAACCCCAUCCGGCAUGCAGGUCACUUCCUGGCCCCUGAUGGUGUUUGAUUUUUCAACCCCUGUGAAUGGGCAUCAGACUCAGAGCUUUGGGCAGAUGAGGCCUUAGCUAGUUGUGAAUAACAUCAUUUUGCCUUCAUUUCACGUUCAAGCCACCUUCUGUUUAUGGAAACAGGACUCCCAGGAUAAAAAGUUCCCUUUCUAACCAGACCAGCUGAGACUGGUUGAAACCAAGAUAGCUGACCGAGAAACUUCAAAAAGACCUUCAGCCUUAUUAUCAUCUCAUUUCCAUGCUCAGUGACACGCCCACAGUGCCAUGAUGGUUGGAAAUCACCAUGACGAUGACUGGAGGAAGGAAGGUCGCGCUCCGGUUCCAGGAAGCUCACUGCCCGCUCCCGGAAAAGACAUGAAUAUUCCUCCCCUUGCUUGGGCCACGGAAUGAAGCCUGCACUGCGGACACUCACUUUCGGUUUCAUGUAUUGGCUUCGUGACACCCCACAGCGAAAGACCCUCUGUUCUGGGGGAAUGACUGUGUUGGUGACAAAACCAUGCUUUCUGGAUCACUGUGGUAUUACGGCAGGGCUUGAAGUCAGGUAUGUGGGUUCUCCAACUCUGUUCUUUUUUCUUCCUCAUGGUGUUGGCUGUCCGAGGACUUUCGCCUUUCCAUAUGAACUUUAGACUCAGGUGGCAUCGCCUGCAGAAUGCCUUGCUGGGAUUGGCCGGGAUUGAACGUUAGACUCAGGUGGCAUCACCUGCAGAAUGCCUUGCUGGGAUUGGCCGGGAUUGAACGUUAGACUCAGGUGGCAUCACCUGCAGAAUGCCUUGCUGGGACUGGCUGGGAUUGAACGUUAGACUCAGGUGGCAUCGCCUGCAGAAUGCCUUGCGGGGAUUGGCUGGGAUUGAACGUUAGACUCAGGUGGCAUCGCCUGCAGAAUGCCUUGAGGGGAUUGGCCGGGAUUGAACGUUAGACUCAGGUGGCAUCGCCUGCAGAAUGCUUUGCUGGGAUUGGCUGGGAUUGAACGUUAGACUCAGGUGGCAUCGCCUGCAGAAUGCCUUGCUGGGAUUGGCCGGGAUUGAACGUUAGACUCAGGUGGCAUCGCCUGCAGAAUGCCUUGCUGGGAUUGGCCGGGAUUGAACGUUAGACUCAGGUGGCAUCACCUGCAGAAUGCCUUGCUGGGAUUGGCUGGGAUUGAACGUUAGACUCAGGUGGCAUCGCCUGCAGAAUGCCUUGCGGGGAUUGGCUGGGAUUGCAGCGAAUCACCUCUUGGCUCUAAUAGCCAAAAUUCAUAGCUGUGCAGAACUCUCUUUGAAAAAAUGGCCAAUGAUUACAUAAGAGUGAAUCCAAUUCCCAUUAACAAAUCUUAAUAUAAUACAUCCAACAAAGCUACGUGUAGAAACUAAGUGACAUCAAACAUAUGCUUGUCGUAAUCACGUGUGUUGAAAACUGUGUUGAAAAGUGCACCAGGUGCCAGUAGGGGCCAAGGGACCUAGGCCCCUUGCCAAGGUCAGCGCAUGCUGACCUGCGCUGGUGGUCGGGUGGAGGGCUCCAUUUGCAAACAGGCGACAGUUGGCUGCCAAUCUUGUUGAUCAUUUAUUUGCUGAUCAAAAAGGAAUUCUGUCAGUACUGUGCACCCUAACACAAUAUUUGGACCUUCAUACAUGUAUUAGUCGGUUUUCCUGCUGCUAAUAAAGACAUACCCAAGACUGGGUAAUUUAUAAAGGAAAGAGGUUUAAUGGACUCACAGUUCCGCAUGGCUGGGGAGGCCUCACAAUCAUGGUGAAUGGCAAAGGAGGAGCAAAGUUGCAUCUUACAUGGCAGCAAGCAAGAGGCCUUGUGCAGGGGAACUCCCAUUUAUAAAACCAUUAGAUCUCAUGAGACUUACUCACUAUCACGAGAACGGCAUGGGAAAUGUCUGCCUCCAUGAUUCAAUUACUUCCCACCAGGUCCCUCCCACAACACAUGGGAAUUAUGGGAGCUACAAUUCAAGAUGAGAUUUGGGUGGGGACUCAGCCAAACCAUAUCGAUACAUAAGCAUUUUACUGGGCUUUGGCUGUAUUAAGGGAUUGAUUGGAGAUUUUAAGAUCAUACAUUAUAAUUUUUCCCAUUUAAAAUAAUGCAAAAUGUGUUCUUCAUUGAUGCUUCCAAGCACAGAUUCUGACAUUUUGCAACAGGAUUCCAAUGUUAAGAGAAAGCUCCGUGUCACUUACUGGUUCUGAUGGGUCAGACCUGGACUCGGGGAAUGGAGGGGCUGGGUUCCUCCUAAACCACAGGGACUGAGGUGGGGUACGAGUGACUACCCAAAAGAACACUGGGGUUCAUUUAGCAACAGGAUGGGAAAUGGAUACUGAAAAGCAAAAUAACAAAUUUUACAAAAAUGUUUUCUGUCCAAGAAUUAAAUAUGUGACACAUCAAUGUGUUCAAUGUCCUUACAUAUUAUGCGUAAGACAUCUGGGCACAGAUAGGAAGGCAGGACAGGUCUGAGCACCUCCCGCCACCUCUCCCCUCCCGGCUCAGGAAAGCUGCUCACAGCUGCAGCCAGCCCGGCCCCCCGCCCUCACCUGCUCCCCCUGCUGUCUCCAGAGUCCCUGGGCUUUCUCCCCCUCCACCUGUUUCCUCUCCUUGGGCUGCCUCUCCCAGGCUAAACAUGCCCGGGGCACAUCAGUGUUGAAAAGAGCUGUUUCUCUGCUGUCCUCACCCCUAAGCUACAGGCUACACCUUGUUUCCCACCCACGGAGAAUCUUCUAGGGAAAUUAGUGCACAGGAUAAGCUUUUAACAGAUUAUCAGAAACGUUUUCAUCCUAGUGUUUCCUGUGACCAUGUGGCCCGCCCAUCCAGGAUGGUCUGCAUCCAGGGAAAGAUGGGGAAGAGGGGAGGGCAGGCCCAGUGGGGGCCUCCCCACCCACAGGCCCCUCCUCCUCCUGAUGGAGCAGCCCCAUCUGCUACAAGCACUCCCCAGGGGUGCGGGGUUCAUGCUUAGAGCAGCAAUCAUUCCUGUUUAUCUGAAAUUCAAAUCUGCCUGGCAUCAGGUACAUUCAUUUACUAACCUGCAGCUCCACCUGGAAUGAUUUGGGACAGCCCUUCCCAUCUCCCUGGGAAGGAUCAGUGGUGUUUGGACAGGCACUUUGCACCCUGGGUGCCUGUGAGGUGGGUUCCCCUUCAAGAAGAGGCCUAACCAGUGCUCCUGCUCCCUGGGUCGGGUCUCCUCACAGCCCAGGGUCUGGGUGGUCUGCAGGGCAGGCUGUUCUCUGUUCCUCCAGCAAGGAUGACCACUGCAGGUGGGGCUGCAGGGAGGCCAGGUGCUACCAGGUAGAGGCCAGAGCUGGGUCGCUCAGUUCGCUCUGCUCUUGUCCUCAGACCCCGAUGCCAGCUCUAGAAAGAGGGGCCCUUUUGCCUUGGCCUCUCCAUGGGGCACAGGCCUCCCUCCCCACCCCACCACGGCAGUGGGGGCAUGAGCUCCAGGGACACCUGCUUUCCUCACAGCCCUGCCCUGAGGACGCUGAUUUGCCUUCUUGCCACAGGUCCAGAAAAGUCUGGAUUUGAUCCUGGCACCGAGGAGGGUCUCUGUGAGCUUGGACUCCUCUCCUGACAGGGGGAAGGGCAGGGCCAGUGCAUCUCACAGCCAUGGCAGGCUGAUGGGACUGUCACACAGCUUUUUGGCCUUGAACUCAGGGCUUAAUGUUAUCAUAUCACUUAAUACUCCCAGGGACCUGGGUGAGGUACAGUCCCAUUCCCAUUUGACAGAGAGGAGGCUGGGGUGCACUGAGAGGUAAUCAGUGUGCUGGCGACAUUUAACAGCCAGCUCUCCAGAAACAUAAAUCACCCUGAUUUGUGGAGAUUGCCAGGUUCCCAGGCACAAAUAUUCCCAGCACAUCCAAUUUCAAGUGCUAGCAGUUUAACAACUGGCUCAUAAAACCCCUGAAAAUGUGAGAGUCGGCUCCCACAAGCUGCUGUGGGACAGCCCCAGCUCCCUGAUAACCUUCUAGGACCUGCCCUAGUUGGGGAGGAGACGGAUCCAGACCCCAAGGGCCUGGACACCAGGGGGGCUCCACUCAGAUCCUCUGGCCCUCACCAUUCCCAGGACCCCCUCUUGGGCUUCUGUGUUCUUCUCUCUCCAGGGCUGGCUCCUGACACUCCUCUUUAAACAACUGUCCUUAGGCCACUGAGCCCGACCAGCCCCACUGCAGUGAGCCGAAGUGGCCUGGGGGCCAGCCAUGCUGAAGCUGCCUCCUCCCAGCUUGUGGGAUAUGAUUUUGGUGUUUACAGUUUUCAGGAAUUAUAUAAACCAGGUAUGACACAGGCUGAACAUCAGUCAUGGUGAAAUUAUUCACAUCCCAGGAACCUGGCAGGGGCUGUGCUGCUGCUGCCCCUGGGAGUGAGUUGUCCCACACUCAGCAGCUCGCCCUGUCUCAUCCUCCCCACCUAGCGAGGCUUUGACCAGUGACGGGGGUGUGGGAACCUCCAACAGGGCGGCUGAGGCUGGGUUCACGCUCCAGGGCGCCCCUGCAGGACCACAAGGAAGCCAUUGCAGUCAGGAGACCUGGCGCUCAAAGCUUCGCUUAUCCUGACCCUGUGCCUCUCCCCGCUCCCUCCCGGCCCUCCCUUCACGCGUCACCUGUUCCCAAGUCCUCAUCCCAGGAUCUGCUUCCGGGGACCAGGCCUGAUAGGCUCCAAAGCUCUGCUCUUAACCAGCACCGCAACUGGAGGAAAAGCAGGAGGCAUUUGGCUGUUGAUGAUCAUGACAUUUUCAUUAUUCUGUGUGGUUUGGGUUUAUUUUACCCAAGGAGCACAGUCCACAGAAAAUAGAACAUUUCAGGAAUACCAACCAAGCUAAGUAACAUGUUCACAUGAUAUUUAUUAAAACUGUGAUGAAACCGGCUCCACAAACCGUUGAUAGAAGAUGGGCUGUGUAAAACCGGUACUGGGAAAACGGGUUGUCUGUGUGGAGGAAAGUAAGACUGAAUCGCUAACCAAUACUGCAAAC
This 6412-nucleotide long non-coding RNA is filed under the name Homo sapiens (human). Its description in RNAcentral is "HSALNT0197546". The record is from RNAcentral. Lineage: Eukaryota; Metazoa; Chordata; Mammalia; Primates; Hominidae.